RNAcentral lists this ribosomal RNA (887 nucleotides) under uncultured Synechococcus sp. Its description in RNAcentral is "bacterial SSU rRNA". It matches the Rfam family "Bacterial small subunit ribosomal RNA", at positions 646 to 1533 of the family's 1533-position model. Lineage: Bacteria; Bacillati; Cyanobacteriota; Cyanophyceae; Synechococcales; Synechococcaceae. The record is from RNAcentral.
GUGUGGUAGGGGCAGAGGGAAUUCCCGGUGUAGCGGUGAAAUGCGUAGAUAUCGGGAAGAACACCAGUGGCGAAGGCGCUCUGCUGGGCCAUAACUGACGCUCAUGGACGAAAGCCAGGGAGCGAAAGGGAUUAGAUACCCCUGUAGUCCUGGCCGUAAACGAUGAACACUAGGUGUCGGGGGAAUCGACCCCCUCGGUGUCGUAGCCAACGCGUUAAGUGUUCCGCCUGGGGAGUAAGCACGCAAGUGUGAAACUCAAAGGAAUUGACGGGGGCCCGCACAAGCGGUGGAGUAUGUGGUUUAAUUCGAUGCAACGCGAAGAACCUUACCAGGGUUUGACAUCCUGCGAAUCUCUUGGAAACGAGAGAGUGCCUUCGGGAGCGCAGUGACAGGUGGUGCAUGGCUGUCGUCAGCUCGUGUCGUGAGUUGUUGGGUUAAGUCCCGCAACGAGCGCAACCCACGUCGUUAGUUGCCAGCAUUUAGUUGAGCACUCUAGCGAGACCGCCGGUGAUAAACCGGAGGAAGGUGUGGAUAACGUCAAGUCAUCAUGCCCCUUACAUCCUGGGCUACACACGUACUACAAUGCUACGGACAAAGGGCAGCAAGCUCGCGAGAGUUAGCAAAUCCCAUAAACCGUGGCUCAGUUCAGAUCGUAGGCUGCAACUCGCCUACGUGAAGGAGGAAUCGCUAGUAAUCGCAGGUCAGCAUACUGCGGUGAAUACGUUCCCGGGCCUUGUACACACCGCCCGUCACACCAUGGAAGUUGGCCACGCCCGAAGCCGUUACUCCAUCCCUUGUGGAGGAGGACGUCGAAGGUGGGGCUGAUGACUGGGGUGAAGUCGUAACAAGGUAUCCGUACCGGAAGGUGCGGCUGGUUCACCUCCUAA